Molecule: long non-coding RNA, 2055 nt
Organism: Orbicella faveolata
Lineage: Eukaryota; Metazoa; Cnidaria; Anthozoa; Scleractinia; Merulinidae
Source: RefSeq, a predicted model, not a curated record
UAUAUAGCGCUCAUUUUCAGAGCUCAAUGGCGCUUUACAAUGUUUGUAAUGACUAAAGCCGACUGGCAUUUUGAAUAUUGGUGUAUAGGAUUGUUGCAAACUUUAUUCAGUUAAGUUAUUAUUCAGUAUGUAUUUUCAGUUUUCGUUAUUUUGUGCAGGUGGGUAUUGUUUCUGUAAGUCAUUAUUAUGUCAUUUUGAUUGAAAGGACAUAAUAAAGAGGGUCAUGCAAGACUCCUGUUGACACACCUCGAAGUGGUUUUUUGACACAUGAUAAAAUUAUUUUAAAUUUUGUCUUUGCUUUAUAUUAUUUGAGUAUGAGUCAUGUAGUAGUUGUUUGCCAAAGUACCACAGGGACAUUUGGAUAAAAAUAUGUGAAAAGUGAAAUGAACAUGUCAUUGGAUGGACAUAUUAAGGCCAUGGAACUUGAUUCCAUAGGUGGGUUGACCCACCUAGCCGUGGUCAAAAACUAGCCUGCAGUUAUGCGCAAUUUUAUCAGCUCCACCAAUCCUUUGGAGUGAACUUCUUCAAGUGGAUGUAUAGUUUAAAAUUUCAGUGGAGUUCACCCCAACCCUUGCAGGCAAUAGCUUGGCAUUUGCUCAUGUCUUUAUUCUAGAGGUGAGCCAUUUAAAAUUUAAUUACCAACAAGGUGUGGGCAGUUGCCUACCUCUGGGACAACCCCAGAACAUUUGGCAGCCUUGUGGAUUUGUGACUUGGCACCCAUGGCCACCCUGUUAAUACGGCAAAAUUUGCAUGGCCAGUGGGUUACUGUUUUAUAAACAGCAUUUCACUGUACCCAAAAUAGUCACCACAAGAUUUCUAACCUGAAAAAUGCUCAUGGUAGCUCCCAGAUUUCAAAUCCCAAAUUUGUCUAUGUACCUCCCGGUCAUCCUUUAGUUACAACACAUUCAUCUGCUGCUGUUCAUGUAUAUCAUGUUCAGGGCUGAGCAUGCAUUAUUGUUUAAUUUAUAGAUGCACAGCUGGAAAUUCAUAGAGCAUGUACAUGUCCCAGAUGUUGUGUUGCCAGUGCAAUCACUGCCCCUUCUCAGAGGAGAAAAGAGCUCAUGACAAGUGGUAAUGUCCUUUGUGACCUGAUGCCAAGAUACACAAAAUUGCAUUCAGUUAAGUAUUUGUCCAACUUCAUCCUGUAUUUCACAAAAAGCUACAUAACUGCAACUUUUACAUGUACAUUUUUGUGAAGUUAUCGAACCCAGAAUGGAUAUGGUCUGGUCCUGUGACUAUUUGUAUACUGACUGAGAAAAAAUAUCAUGAUUCCUUUUUAUGUGACAGAGACUAAUUUUAAUUAUAUAUUUCUGUAAAAUUGUAAAUAUGCGAGUCAUAAUAAUCAAGUUUGUUGUAAAAGUUUGAUUGAUUGUUUACUAGUUAAAGUCAAUCAAUAAAUUAGGGGUUAUUGAAAAUUUGAUUUAUCCAUCAAUAAAAGACAAUUCUUUAAAAAAGUUAAUAAGGGAUGUACCAAAUUAAUAUGGAUAUGGUCAGUUUCACAAAAACCUUUUCCAGAGUUUCUUGAUCUAUAUAUAGUGCCACAUAAAAUUGAUCUGCGCAGGAGAUGGGUGGAAGAACUGACCCACUAAGGAACUGGUUCCACUGAAAAAUGUUUUCCCGAGUUUCUUGAUCUGUGAAGCAUAAACUGGUCCCACAUUCCAAAAUGCCAGCACAGUUUAAAAAAGAAACACUUAACAUUUAGGAACAAUUGGACUGUCUGCAUACCCUGAAUGGAUCUCGAGCUUUGUACAGGAGAUGGGUGUAAGAACUGGCCCACAAGGGAGCUGGUUCCACCAAAAAUCUCUUCCUGAGUUUCUUGAUCUGUGAAGCAAAAACUGGUCCCACAUUCCAAAUUGCUGGCACAAGAUUAAAAAGCAAAACUUGUUUAGGAACAAUUGGACUGCCUGCAUGUGAUGAACGGAUCUUGAGCUUUGUACAGGAGAUUGGUGUAAGAACUGGCCCACAGGGAGCUGGGUCCACCAAAAAUCUCUUCCUGAGUUUCUUGAUCUUUGAAGCAUAGACUGGUCCCUCAUCCAAAUUGCCAGCACAAGAAAA